CCUACGGGUUGCACCAGUGGGGAAUAUUGGACAAUGGGCGAAAGCCUGAUCCAGCAAUGCCGCGUGUGUGAAGAAGGUCUUCGGAUUGUAAAGCACUUUCGACGGGGACGAUGAUGACGGUACCCGUAGAAGAAGCCCCGGCUAACUUCGUGCCAGCAGCCGCGGUAAUACGAAGGGGGCUAGCGUUGCUCGGAAUGACUGGGCGUAAAGGGCGCGUAGGCGGUUUAUGCAGUCAGAUGUGAAAUCCCCGGGUUUAACCCGGGAACUGCAUUUGAAACGGAUAGGCUAGAGGUCGAGAGAGGGUUGUGGAAUUCCCAGUCUAGAGGUGAAAUUCGUAGAUAUUGGGAAGAACACCGGUGGCGAAGGCGGCAACCUGGCUCGGUACUGACGCUGAGGCGCGAAAGCGUGGGGAGCAAACAGGAUUAGAUACCCUGGUAGUC
This 440-nucleotide ribosomal RNA is filed under the name uncultured bacterium. Its description in RNAcentral is "bacterial SSU rRNA". It matches the Rfam family "Bacterial small subunit ribosomal RNA", at positions 338 to 795 of the family's 1533-position model. The record is from RNAcentral.